CACCGGCGGCCCGAGUGGUAACCGCUUUUAUUGGGUCUAAAGGGUCUGUAGCCGGCCAAGUAAGUCCCUUGGGAAAUCUGGCAGCUUAACUGUCAGGCUGCUAGGGGAUACUGCUAGGCUUGGGACCGGGAGAGGUGAGAGGUACCUUGGGGGUAGGGGUGAAAUCUUGUGAUCCUCGGGGGACCACCAGUGGCGAAGGCGUCUCACCAGAACGGGUCCGACGGUAAGGGACGAAAGCUAGGGGCACGAACCGGAUUAGAUACCCGGGUAGUCCUAGCCGUAAACGAUGCUCGCUAGGUGUCAGUCACGGUGCGACCGUGAUUGGUGCCGUAGGGAAGCCGUGAAGCGAGCCACCUGGGAAGUAUGGCCGCAAGGCUGAAACUUAAAGGAAUUGGCGGGGGAGCACUACAACGGGUGGAGCCUGCGGUUUAAUUGGAUUCAACGCCGGAAAUCUCACCGGGGGCGACAGCGAUAUGAAGGUCAGGCUGAAGACCUUACCCGAUUAGCU
Molecule: ribosomal RNA, 508 nt
Filed under: uncultured archaeon
Lineage: Archaea
Description: bacterial SSU rRNA
Rfam family: Archaeal small subunit ribosomal RNA
Source: RNAcentral